CCGAGUUAGGGUUGCUGAAAUAUCGCGCCCGACCUCCAACCCUUUGCUUACUUGACCUUUUGUUGCUUCGGCAGGCCCGUUCUUACGGACCGCCGGGAGCCUAAAAACCUCCUGGUCAGCGCCUGCCGAUGGCCCAAAUUAAACCCUUGCUUAAACGUGUCGUCUAAGUAAUUGUUAAAACAAAUAACUAA
This 191-nucleotide unclassified non-coding RNA is filed under the name uncultured Herpotrichiellaceae. RNAcentral's name for it is "sequence contains ITS1". The record is from RNAcentral. Lineage: Eukaryota; Fungi; Ascomycota; Eurotiomycetes; Chaetothyriales; Herpotrichiellaceae.